This 774-nucleotide long non-coding RNA is filed under the name Nicotiana tabacum (common tobacco). Its description in RNAcentral is "long non-coding RNA (NTAB_LNC018718)". The record is from RNAcentral. Lineage: Eukaryota; Viridiplantae; Streptophyta; Magnoliopsida; Solanales; Solanaceae.
AAUUCUGUGUCCAUAUAACACAUGCCUUCUUGGUUAGUCUUCUAUCACAGUGAUCUAUGUGGUCUACUAUUUUUAAAAUAAUGGGAGAAUAGAGCUCAACUUGAGUAGGUCCAGUUAGGGAAUUACUGUAUAUUGAACAAAUGUAGUUGUCUCCAAAGAGAUUGAGAAGGGAAUCUUUGUCCGAUUGAGUAAAAAUAAUGACUAAUAAGUUCUAGUAAAAGUUUAGUGCUCUGUCUGCUAAGUAAACUGUUCAAAUGAUGUCUUUCAUUGAGUUAUUAGCGAUGAACCUCCUGCAGCGAAUUAUACAUUUGCCGCAAACCUUGGCUUGGGCAGUCAAUUAUGACCCUAAAUAGGAAGUCGAAACAAGAUUAUUUGGCUUUAUAUCCCCAUUGAGCCAGGUUAAUUCAGGGUGGUUGGUGUACGACAAUAUUAUUUGUUAUCUUUAUUCGUUUUUCUGUAUGUUCAGUUAGAGGCGUUCAUCCUAGAGUUCUCUCUUUAAUAUUCUUAUGCACUUUAUGCAGGUCAGCAGUGGGGAUAGAAAUCAGCGCAUGAAGGAGGCCCUGACUACUAUGGGCGCUUCUGUAUUCAGGUUUGACAUUCUCUUAUACUAUUGGGGAAGAUAUAAUGGAUUAUGUCUUCUGAUCUCUCUUUAUGUUAGAGCACGUUUAAAAAAUCCUUUUGUUUUUGCUUCUCCAUUUUACCAAUUCAGUGAAACUAUCUUUAAUCAAGUCUACUUGUUGACUUUUAUCAAUAGGAUUAAAAAUAGUGAGUCAG